GCCACGCCACCUGGCAAACGAGGGUGCUACACCUGCACAUACUGGCUUUUGUCUCCUCCCCAGUUUUGCUAGAUUUCUCCUGGGUCUCCUGACUCCUUGUCCAGUGCUCCUCACUCUCCUAACUCUGCCCUUCCUUUUCUCAGACCAGUCGGACCCAGUGUGCCAGAGCCUUGUGAGGUGCUGAGGAAGAAAAACCAGGAAUCCCUCCAUUAUGAUGGCAUACUGGGAGGGGGAAUCGAGUUAAAAGUGAACAAGGGCACAGUACAGAUGUAAAAUCCUUGUGUCGAGCUUCCCUUUUUCAUGAUUCUGAGGUAUAUUUGGGCCUAAGGAAUCAUAACCUUGUACAAUGUUACUGCUGAAUGGAACUGUAGGGAUCCUUCUACUUCAAACCCAUUUCUUUCUUUUUAAAAGUAGACUCCACGCUGGAGUAGACACGGCCCUGAGAUCAAGACCCGAGCCAAGAUCAAGAGUGGCGUGUUUAACCAACUGAGCCAUCCAGGCACCCCGCAAACCCCUCAUUUUCUAGAUGAGGAAACUGAGACCCAGAAGGGGGAAGUGUCUGGGCCAAGGACACACAGCCUCUCAGGGCACAAGAACCCAGGAGUCUCAACCCCAAGUCUGGGUUCUUUCACCACAUGCUCAGAAGAGAAGUCAAGGAGUUGACAGAAAUCUUUGUGCCCUGCGGCCGUCAACCUCACCCCGUACCCAGGAGGAAAAGGGGCCUUCAGUGGACACCUCUCCCCACUUCCACUCUGAGUCUUCACCAGCCACUUUCCUCCGACAGCCGCGACAGGCCAAUUUCAUCUUAACCAAAGUUCUUGGAAAUGGACCGCUGAGCUGCUUGGAAGAUGCCCCUGGAGGGCAGCAAUUCCGCCAGAGGUAGACCAACUCCAAGGGCUCUCCACUCACAUUUCUACAGCUCCUUAUAAAUCAAGUGAGUAAUUUAUCUGCUGCUUCACAACCAUCCUUCUCCAUAUAUCCCAAUCUCACCAUUGCAGGGACUAGUGAGGGGCAGGGAAUAAGCCCCCAGGUACAGAGAAGGAGCUCUGUUGUUCUCCAGCCUGGAACUCAAGGCUGUCUCUUCGGGCUCCUUCCCACCAACUGGUAGUUUCAUCUCUUAAAAGCGAGUCUAUCCUUACCUUCUCCCUGGUCCUCCUCUCUGGAAUUUCCACGGGGUUCCCCAGUCCUGGGUUCCUGGCUGCCUCCUCCGCUGCCUGCCCACUCUUCCCGGCUCUCACUCAGCCUGUCAGUUGCUCUCC
This 1259-nucleotide long non-coding RNA is filed under the name Ursus americanus (American black bear). RNAcentral describes it as "lncRNA (ENSUAMG00000016925.1)". Lineage: Eukaryota; Metazoa; Chordata; Mammalia; Carnivora; Ursidae. The record is from RNAcentral.